CGUUAUACGUAAGGGUGCGAGCGUGUCCGGAAUACUGGGCGUAAGAGCUCGUAGGUGUUUGUCGCGUCGUCUGUGAAAUCCCGGGGCUUAACCUUCGGGCGUGCAGGCGAUACGGGCAUAACUAGAGUGCUGUAGGGGAGACUGGAAUUCCUGGUGUAGCGGUGAAAUGCGCAGAUAUCAGGAGGAACACCGAUGGCGAAGGCAGGUCUCUGGGCAGUUACUGACGCUGAGGAGCGAAAGCAUGGGUAGCGAACAGGAUUAGAUACCCUGGUAGUCCAUGCCGUAAACGGUGGGCGCUAGGUGUGGGGGUUUUAUUUACGAUUCCCGUGCCGUAGCUAACGCAUUAAGCGCCCCGCCUGGGGAGUACGGCCGCAAGGCUAAAACUCAAAGGAAUUGACGGGGGCCCGCACAAGCGGCGGAGCAUGUGGAUUAAUUCGAUGCAACGCGAAGAACCUUACCUGGGCUUGACAUACACCGGAUCGCUGCAGAGAUGUAGUUUCCCUUGUGGCUGGUGUACAGGUGGUGCAUGGUUGUCGUCAGCUCGUGUCGUGAGAUGUUGGGUUAAGUCCCGCAACGAGCGCAACCCUUGUCUUGUGUUGCCAGCACGUUAUGGUGGGGACUCGCGAGAGACUGCCGGGGUUAACUCGGAGGAAGGUGGGGAUGACGUCAAAUCAUCAUGCCCCUUAUGUCCAGGGCUUCACACAUGCUACAAUGGUCGGUACAGUGGGUUGCGAUACCGUGAGGUGGAGCUAAUCCCUUAAAGCCGGUCUCAGUUCGGAUUGGAGUCUGCAACUCGACUCCAUGAAGUCGGAGUCGCUAGUAAUCGCAGAUCAGCAACGCUGCGGUGAAUACGUUCCCGGGCCUUGCACACACCGCCCGUC
This 881-nucleotide ribosomal RNA is filed under the name uncultured bacterium. RNAcentral describes it as "bacterial SSU rRNA". It matches the Rfam family "Bacterial small subunit ribosomal RNA", at positions 519 to 1398 of the family's 1533-position model. The record is from RNAcentral.